This 2078-nucleotide unclassified non-coding RNA is filed under the name Hevea brasiliensis (rubber tree). Lineage: Eukaryota; Viridiplantae; Streptophyta; Magnoliopsida; Malpighiales; Euphorbiaceae. The record is from RNAcentral.
AAAAAUACUUCUCAUUCCAUUAUUAAGUAGACAAAUUAACCAAAUAAAAAAAUAAAAUUCAAGCUCCAUUCACUUUUAUAAAUGAAGUAAAAACACUUUUAUUUUUUUUUUUUUAAGAGAGUAAGUUAUUUAUUAAAUUUCAGGAAAAAUUUAGUAUGAACAUGCUCAAAUAAAGCCCUAGUUAAUAGACCAUUCCAUACCCCUAAUCUAGAAAAUGACAUGAUAAGUGAAAAAACAGAGAAAUGAGUACAAACCAAGAUAAGAUCGCAAAAAAUAACAGCCAAAAUAAUCUAGCCAAGGGUUGACGAAAUCAAGCAAAGGAUAGCCAGGGUGAACAAAUAAACAGAACGACAUUAAAAAAAACAAAAAAAGCUAACAUGAAAACAAGACCCAAAUCUUGGUGAAGAGCCCAGCAGUAGCAACAUCAGUACACAAAGAAACACAUCUCAAAACACUUAAAAGAUUGGAAAGCACAAACACACUUCACCUGGUGACUCCAUGCUGCUAGCAGAGUUUACAGCUCUGAAUUGAAACAAAACAAAAGCAUAACAAAAUUUUAACAUGUCGGAAUUUGCUACAAUACAAGGAUUAAUCCCUUGCUUGAGUUUCCAAGUUUAUUCUACAAGGAUAUGCUUAAGCUUAACUAUCGCGAAUAAGGCAGGAUGAGCUAGGAACAGAAACAAAUUAUUUUAAGUAUUCCUUAUGCUUCUCUAAGUAAGAAUAAUGACGCUGGAAGUUAAUUACUGACCACACCACGUGUCGGAGACCAAUCUCUGGCCACAGUGCAUGAGGAGAAUACAGUAUGCAAUUAGUAGUCUGCCAAAGUAGGUAGUUGCUCAGACGGGUCUCCCCAGAAGUUCGAAUCAAGACAUCAGGAUGAGGAUUUAUGUAAGUGUUUCUCUCAAGCUCUACAAGUUUUAUUUCAGAAUAUGGCUCCAUCUCCUCAAUUUUAAUCACACAAUCUCCGUUUCCAUCGUUGCAAAUUUCAUUGGAUUUCAAUUUAUCCUUAGAGGAUUCUUCAACAGCAUGCACGAUCUCAUCAGUUGAAGUGUAGCAUACAGCAAGGAGAAGCACAAAUUUGGAAUUUUUGGCAGUAGCCCUCAUAAUCUUAUCUGCUGCGGUCUUGAGUGGCUCAUCUAAAAGCUUCAGAUUACCAACAAAACGCACGCAAAUAUCAUAUGCAUUGAUGAUACUUUCUUCCAUGAUCAUCCCUUCAAUCUUCUCCAGCAUUAGAUUCAUUACGUACUGAACCUCAUGAGGUUUCCUUCGAAAAUUAUCGAUGCUAAAGGCAUAGAUAGUCGCAUAUUUCACUCCUAACUCAUAGCAAUAAGUUAGCACGUUCAGAAGAGCUAAAAAUCCAGCCUUAUGACCACCUCCUUCUGGCAGUUUAUGCUUCUUAGCAAACCUCCUGUUUCCAUCCAAUAUGAAGGCAAGAUGAGUAGGGAUGGGACCCUGGGUUAGGAUGCCAUAUAACCCUUUUCUCAUAUACUUCCCUAAAAGUCUGAACACACUUGGCCUCUCACCGGUGUAUAAUUCCAUUUUACUUAAACCACUGACUUAACCUGCUCAUCAGAAAAAAAAUAUAAAAAUAAAAUCUCAGAUCCAAUAACUAAAUUAAGUUGAUUAUUUCGGAGGUGACACUAAAUCAAGUGGUAUCUUUCGUUAAUAUAUAUUUAAGUUUUUUUAACCUUAAAAGACUACUUGAUACUGCUGUGAGUACUUUGACCAAUGAGCAUUAACCCAGUAGUAUUGAAAUCAUUUCAUAAACUAUAAAGUCUAGAGUUCGACUUUCAAUUGAAACCAAUUAUACUAAAAAAAGGAGGGACUUUGGUCAUGUUGAGAGUUGAUCAAAGGUCUAUUUAUCAACAAAUUAAGUAUAUACUAAUGUAUGAAAAAUUUUUAACCUAGUUAAAGGAUAUUGAAUAUGUCAUGGUUUUAUUUUAAAUUUUUUUGAUACGCACAAGAAUAUUUUUUAUUUAAAAUUGUUAUUAAGAAGUUAUUGGAUAUAAGCAACUCUAAACACUAGUAACUAAAAAUUAUGCGAUACCCAAAUCCUAGAACAAACUAGCCAGGAUACU